Molecule: ribosomal RNA, 468 nt
Filed under: uncultured bacterium
Lineage: Bacteria
Description: partial 16S ribosomal RNA
Rfam family: Bacterial small subunit ribosomal RNA
Source: RNAcentral
GACGAACGCUGGCGGCGUGCUUAACACAUGCAAGUCGAACGGAAAGGCCCUGCUUUUGUUGGUUGCUCGAGUGGCGAACGGGUGAGUAACACGUGAGUAACCUGCCCUUGUCUUUGUGAUAACUUCAGGAAACUGGGGCUAAUACCGGAUAUGAGCUCCUGCUGCAUGGUGGGGGUUGGAAAGUUUCGGCGGUUGUGGAUGGACUCGCGGCUUAUCAGCUUGUUGGUGGGGUAGUUGCUUACCAAGGCUUUGACGGGUAGGCGGCCUGAGAGGGUUACCGGGGACAUUGGGAAUGAGAGAGGGGACAGAAGGCAACGGGAGGCAGCAGGGGGGAAAAUUGCAGAAUGGGAGGAAGCCUGAGGCAGAAAGGGCGCGAGCGGGAUGAGGGCAGUCGGGGAGGAAACCGAUUUGGACGGUGAGGAAGCGGGAGUGACGGUAAUGGAUAAAGAAGCAACGGCUAAAUACGUG